RNAcentral lists this ribosomal RNA (538 nucleotides) under marine sediment bacterium BB0608_2216_7.1_13G0. RNAcentral's name for it is "bacterial SSU rRNA". It matches the Rfam family "Bacterial small subunit ribosomal RNA", at positions 71 to 592 of the family's 1533-position model. The record is from RNAcentral.
AAUGGGAGCUUGCUCCCAUUUCUCAGCGGCGGACGGGUGAGUAACACGUGGGCAACCUGCCCUACAGACUGGGAUAACUCCGGGAAACCGGAGCUAAUACCGGGUAAUACAUAGCAUCGCAUGAUGCAACGUUGAAAGUUGGCCUUUGGCUAACACUGUAGGAUGGGCCCGCGGCGCAUUAGCUAGUUGGUAAGGUAACGGCUUACCAAGGCCACGAUGCGUAGCCGACCUGAGAGGGUGAUCGGCCACACUGGGACUGAGACACGGCCCAGACUCCUACGGGAGGCAGCAGUAGGGAAUCUUCCGCAAUGGACGAAAGUCUGACGGAGCAACGCCGCGUGAGUGACGAAGGCCUUCGGGUCGUAAAGCUCUGUUGUUAGGGAAGAACAAGUACCGUUCGAAUAGGGCGGUACCUUGACGGUACCUAACCAGAAAGCCACGGCUAACUACGUGCCAGCAGCCGCGGUAAUACGUAGGUGGCAAGCGUUGUCCGGAAUUAUUGGGCGUAAAGCGCGCGCAGGCGGUCUCUUAAGUCUGA